Helianthus annuus (common sunflower) is the source of this 272-nucleotide long non-coding RNA. RefSeq lists it as uncharacterized. Lineage: Eukaryota; Viridiplantae; Streptophyta; Magnoliopsida; Asterales; Asteraceae. The record is from RefSeq and is a predicted model, not a curated record. The transcript is spliced from 3 exons.
ACUUGUUCAAUCAAGGUCAAAAUUCAGCAAAUUAAUGGUGGCUCUUGACACAAAUCGAAUGCAUGUGCUUGAUUUCUCACUAAUCUAAGUAUUCUGAUCAUAAGGAACCAUAUCAACAUGGACACGAGCAUGGAAGGACAAUGGGCCAAGGGCAAUUAUAGAAGCUAUGCACGAACUCGGACGCACGAGGUUGUACGAAUCACGGGCGGUUAUCACGAGGAGUAGAGAUCGAAGACCGAGUCACAAGAUUGUACGGGAAUAGUUGAGUAUGU